UACGUAGGGUGCGAGCGUUGUCCGGAAUUAUUGGGCGUAAAGAGCUCGUAGGCGGUUUGUUGCGUCGGCCGUGAAAACCUGCAGCUUAACUGUGGGCCUGCGGCCGAUACGGGCAGACUUGAGUUCGGUAGGGGAGACUGGAAUUCCUGGUGUAGCGGUGAAAUGCGCAGAUAUCAGGAAGAACACCAAUGGCGAAGGCAGCUCUCUGGGACGGUACUGACGCUGAGACGCGAAAGCGUGGGGAGCGAACAGG
This 253-nucleotide ribosomal RNA is filed under the name uncultured bacterium. Its description in RNAcentral is "partial 16S ribosomal RNA". It matches the Rfam family "Bacterial small subunit ribosomal RNA", at positions 524 to 776 of the family's 1533-position model. The record is from RNAcentral.